This 106-nucleotide transfer RNA is filed under the name Klebsiella michiganensis. RNAcentral's name for it is "tRNA-Met". The stretch from base 1 to 74 matches the Rfam family "tRNA". From Rfam's summary of the family: Transfer RNA (tRNA) molecules are approximately 80 nucleotides in length. Their secondary structure includes four short double-helical elements and three loops (D, anti-codon, and T loops). Lineage: Bacteria; Pseudomonadati; Pseudomonadota; Gammaproteobacteria; Enterobacterales; Enterobacteriaceae. The record is from RNAcentral.
CGCGGGGUGGAGCAGCCUGGUAGCUCGUCGGGCUCAUAACCCGAAGGUCGUCGGUUCAAAUCCGGCCCCCGCAACGUCGUCGGUUCAAAUCCGGCCCCCGCAACCA